Clupea harengus (Atlantic herring) is the source of this 571-nucleotide long non-coding RNA. Lineage: Eukaryota; Metazoa; Chordata; Actinopteri; Clupeiformes; Clupeidae. The record is from Ensembl.
CCACGACCUCUACGUUAAAGAUUAGAGAUGUGAAUGUGUCUGACUCUGGGCUUUACUACUGUGGGACGCAGCCAGGGGACCACAUGAUCUAUCACAACGCAACAUACUUAACCAUCACAGCUUCUGUAGAUGAGGUUGAGCCCGAGCCCAAGCCCUCAGAGACAGUAGAGGACGGGCAGUUCUGCAGUGGGGGCAGUUCUGCAGUGGGGCGUGUGAAGCUGUCAUUCUGGUUCUUAGGGUUCUCAGUGCUGUUCUCGGUCUGGCGUUUUUCAUCGUGAUCCUGAUCAAAUGCAGAGCUGCACUCAGAACACAGAACACAGACCCUGGUAAUCUUACAGCGUCUCCACCUGAGCAGGACUCAUGCGUGUAGCACGCAGCUCUAAGCUUCAACGAGAGGGAGAAGAGAAGAAGGACCCUCCACAGAGAAAGCACAUAUACGUGUGUCUUAUAUUUUGCUAUAACACCAAAGCUAUACAAAAAGUUGCAUUGAUGCUGUUGUAUUUCACUGCUAUACACUGUUCAGAAUUACUGUGUUCUGGUUCAGUCCAAUUUGUAUUAUGAACAAGAUAUC